UUGAGAGGCAUGUCUGAUCAUUUAAAAGGUUCCCAUAUUUCUUGUGUUUGUUUAUUUCCAGUGCUUCUAAUGCAUCCAUCUUCCUGCUUUUCGGCAAUACAUGUAGAUAUUCGAUGUUUUUAUCGGGAUCGAAGUGAUGCCUCUCAAGUU
Long non-coding RNA from Aricia agestis (brown argus), 150 nucleotides. RefSeq lists it as uncharacterized. Lineage: Eukaryota; Metazoa; Arthropoda; Insecta; Lepidoptera; Lycaenidae. The transcript has 3 exons. The record is from RefSeq and is a predicted model, not a curated record.